Cajanus cajan (pigeon pea) is the source of this 481-nucleotide non-coding RNA. Lineage: Eukaryota; Viridiplantae; Streptophyta; Magnoliopsida; Fabales; Fabaceae. The record is from RefSeq and is a predicted model, not a curated record.
UUCUAUAGCUGUGAACCUUGCUAAUUGUGAAUAAAUUGGACAUUCUACCAAAACACUAUGAAAUAUGAAUAAAAUGGACAGGUUGUUACACAUUGGUAAUUACUAAUAUCUUUUGGCCAAGACCUACAAUGUGGGUGGAGAAGUUAAAUGUUCCUUCUACAAGAACAUGUUAGAGGUUGGCAUCUUUGGUUUCACUGGGGAAGAUCAUAUUGGAAAAUCUAGUUUUCCACCAGUGCAGAUGGUGGAUGCAUUUAUGAUGGCUAUCAGACCACGUCCCCACGUUUGUCUGAAGUGAUCCUACUUUUGUCUGCCCAAAUAUUGUUCGGAGAUAACUGGUUAACUGGAUUUAUUGUUUCUCAACUUGAAAAUCGGGUUUUCUAUCUAUACUAUGAUUUUGUUAGAUAGACAUGCUAUCAUCAAAAUUUGUACCUUUUUCCUUACAAUCACCUGAUAAUUCAAAUGGCAAGCGACUUGGUGCCUC